GAUGAACGCUGGCGGCGUGCCUAAUACAUGCCAGUCGAGCGAACAGACGAGGAGCUUGCUCCUCUGACGUUAGCGGCGGACGGGUGAGUAACACGUGGAUAACCUACCUAUAAGACUGGGAUAACUUCGGGAAACCGGAGCUAAUACCGGAUAAUAUAUUGAACCGCAUGGUUCAAUAGUGAAAGACGGUUUUGCUUUCACUUAUAGAUGGAUCCGCGCCGCAUUAGCUAGUUGGUAAGGUAACGGCUUACCAAGGCAACGAUGCGUAGCCGACCUGAGAGGGUGAUCGGCCACACUGGAACUGAGACACGGUCCAGACUCCUACGGGAGGCAGCAGUAGGGAAUCUUCCGCAAUGGGCGAAAGCUUGACGGAGCAACGCCGCGUGAGUGAUGAAGGUCUUCGGAUCGUAAAACUCUGUUAUUAGGGAAGAACAAAUGUGUAAGUAACUAUGAACGUCUUGACGGUACCUAAUCAGAAAGCCACGGCUAACUACGUG
This 497-nucleotide ribosomal RNA is filed under the name uncultured bacterium. Its description in RNAcentral is "partial 16S ribosomal RNA". It matches the Rfam family "Bacterial small subunit ribosomal RNA", at positions 28 to 507 of the family's 1533-position model. The record is from RNAcentral.